UGACGAUUCCUCCACUCUCAAUUACAACAACGGAUAGUAUUAUCAUUCCCAUUCAGAUUGAUACUCUCUCAUUGAGAUUCAUGCACAGGUCUUAAUGUGGGAGGAGUCGCUGGUGGAGGCGCGUGCGUCCCAGAUGUGGAGAGUGCGGUCAUUGGAGGCGAAGUAGAUGUAGUGGGAGUUGGAGCACCAGGCGAGGUCGGAGGCAAAGCAGAUGUAGUGGGAUUUCUUUUAUGUUAAAGUGUUUGGGAAAGUGUUUGGUUAAUGAGAAAAUCUGAGGGAGAGUGAGACUGAGGACCGAAUGUUUAGGCUUAGAAAUCUAGAGGAUAUACUGUUUAUUUAGUUUUAGAUUUUAGAAGGGUUUAGUGGGUUUAUUUAAUUUUAAA
Quercus lobata is the source of this 383-nucleotide long non-coding RNA. RefSeq lists it as uncharacterized. The transcript has 2 exons. NCBI's taxonomy places the organism in Eukaryota, Viridiplantae, Streptophyta, Magnoliopsida, Fagales, Fagaceae. The record is from RefSeq and is a predicted model, not a curated record.